AGCCCAAGUCAGACGCUUAACUGACGGAGCCACCCAGGUGCCCCAAUCCUUCUUUGUUUCUUAAUAUCACUUGUGAUACCCAAGGAAUGGCAAAUAUGAGCAAUAGUAUGGGGACCUUCAGUGCAUAUCGGGUAUGCUUUAUUGAUUAAUUCGUUUAAUCUCUUUCUACUCUUAGGACAUUGCAGGCAAACGGAGCGACAUGUAGAACAGCAGAAGCAAGGAACUGCAGAACUCGUUAAUUCAAAUGCAACAUGGCGAGGUUCCAUAGCAGCCCACGUGGACGUUGUGAGGGUAAAAAAGGAGGAAAUGCAUUUUACAUACAUAAGGUCAUAAGGGGACCACUGCCUUCUGAAUGAAUAUGAGUAUCUUCAUGGAAAAAAUAUCUUGAGAGGAAAAAAAGGUUACUGAAUUUAUUAUUUUUUAAAAUUUUUCUGAAGUUUAUUUACUUUUUUUUUUUUUUUGAGAGAGAGAGAGAGAGAGAGAGAGAGAGAAUGAGAGAGUGCAGGCAGGAAAGGGGCAGAGAGAGAGGGAGAGAGAGAGAGAAUCCCAAGCAGGCUCCGCACUGCCAGUGCAGAGCCUGAUGUGGGGCUUGAACCCACGAACCGGGAGAUCAUGACCUGAGCCAGAAUCAAGAGUCAGACGCUUAACUGACUGAACCACCCAGGUGCCCCCAAACCACUGAAUUUAUAUUAGAAAAUCCAGUGGAAGUGAUCAGGACAGCAAAGUGGAAUCACGGUCCUUAGGAGCAAGAGGGAAUUAGAGAUAGUAUAG
This 771-nucleotide long non-coding RNA is filed under the name Felis catus (domestic cat). RNAcentral's name for it is "lncRNA (ENSFCAG00000041811.2)". Lineage: Eukaryota; Metazoa; Chordata; Mammalia; Carnivora; Felidae. The record is from RNAcentral.